ACAAUAAAUGUUCACGUCUAUAAAUCAUAAUUAUUAUGUAUUUUCAAUAAAUCCCCGUACCUACAUAAUACGAGUACAUCAUUAACGUUCAUUGUACUUCAUAUAUCCUAAUUGGAUGUAAAAUAAAAGUUCCGGCGCGUCGAUAUUUCAGCUAUUUUUAAGUUCUAAUUUCAGUCACCGUGACAUCGCAUCAGUAUAAUGAGUAUUGUUUGAAAAAUUCGCAAAGUGUAAAUGUUUUCAUUAAUAUAUUAGUCACAGUUUAUUCAAAUUAUUUGAAUCCUAAGGUGAACGAUAAGAUAACGCCAAGAUAAUCACGGGCAUAACAGUGACAUGGAAAAAAAAGUGUGUAAAGUGUAUACAGAUCCAAAAAUUUAAUUUUAAAUCAACAAAUAUAAGAUAUUUAUGGAAAACGUAGAGUUGAGAAGAGACCCUAACAGGAAAUCAAAGAAUAAAUUAAAGUUAUCAUCAUUGACAUCCUAUUUUCGAUCAAGUAAAUCAGGCAACAACCUAAUAUCGCCUCCAAUAAAUUUUGAAAAAAUAGAUUUAAUACCAUCCAAUGUUUCUUCGCAUAUUUCUAUUCAAGAAUGCCCAUUUGAUGUUACCGGUUACGGUAUGUUGAUCAUGAAGGAUAAAUUUAAAUUAAAAAAACCUGUAAAGAAGAAAAAUGUUUUAGUUUUUAUGUUCGAGAGAAUCAUUAUCAUCACGACUGUAAGUAUUAGUCAAAUAACCGAGGCGGAAGUCAUUUACAAGCAUUGAAAUGCAUAAGAACAUUCAUAGUUGCCGUUUGCCGAUCGGUCUGCCGUUCGUGACUUUCAACAUAAACGGAUUGUAUCUUUUCCCGUGGACCGUUCGUUGCAACUUUCGUAGCAAUAGAAAAGAGCCUCUCAUUCGUUUAUGUUUGUCACGUGAUUUUGUCAUAUGACGUUAAAUCGUGAUGUUGGAUUUAUUUCUCUUUCUGUUCGUUUGUUUAUGAUUAUGGUAGUAUUUUGGCUUUGCUUGUUUUCUCUUCGUUAUUGUCUUGAUAUCGACCAUAAAUACCGGAUUAUAAACAAAAAUAUCACGUCAAAAAGAAUAACAAGAUUUUUAGGUUAAUGUCAAUGGUGUAGAAUUUGCUACAAACGUGAAACGUCAUCCGCGAAUGACAACGGUAACGGGAAGUCAAGUAUGUGAAUCGGGCUUUAAGCUGUUUAUGCCGGAUAUUAUUGUUACCUUUCUUGUUUUCUUUUUUUUCAAUUUUCUUCAGAUUGAUUUUCAGCUGAUCAUUAUCCUUCAAAUCAUUUAUAGUCUCUCGAUAUACAUGUUUCAAUUGCUUUGGCUUUUGUUUGGUUAUAACUGUUUAUAUAUUUUUUCCCUAAAAAUAUAAUGUUAGUUUUAAAGUACAAUUGAUAUUAUUUCAAAUAAUGCUGCACUUGAUAAAAUUCAAGGAAUCGUACAGCCAUUGAAAUUAAUUUCAACAUAAACGGAUUGUAUCUUUUCCCGUGGACCGUUCGUUGCAACUUUCGUAGCAAUAGAAAAGAGCCUCUCAUUCGUUUAUGUUUGUCACGUGAUUUUGACGUAUGACGUUAAAUCGUGAUGUUGGAUUUAUUUCUCAUUCUGUUCGUUUGUUUAUAAUUAUGGUAGUAUUUUGGCUUUACUUGUUUUCUCUUCGUUAUUGCCUUGACAUCGUCCAUAAAUAUCGGACUUCUUGUUUUCUUUUUUUUUCCAAUUUUCUUUAGAUAGAUCUUCGGCUGAUCAUUGAUCCUUCAGAUCAUUUAUACAGUCUCGAUAUACCUGCUUCAAUUGCUUUGGUUUCUGUUAAUUUGUAACAUAUUUUUUUCUCUAUUAUUAUAAUAUUAGUUUUAGAGUAGAAUUUAUAUUAUUUCAAAUAAUGCUGCACUUGAUAAAAUUCAAGGAAUCGUACAGCCAUUGAAAUUACAAGAAAAAUCAAUCAUAAAAGCAAUCUAGUAUAGAAUACCAACUAAAUACUUGUUUGAUGAGUAGGAAGAAUAUCUUCAAGAUUUAUUUAUAUUCUUAAUAAGGAGGAACAACCUGAUAUAUAUUAUUAUUUGGGAAGCAUAAAAAUGUGUGACUUGAGCAUGUCUGCAACAACAAAAAGAAACAGGAUAUUACUCAAUGAUUUCAACAAAAAUAGAAAUAGACAGACGCAUUUGAACGUAGAAUAUAGCCUGAAGACAAAAAAUCUAGAGACUGUUGAUAAAUGGAGAUAUACUAUUGAAAAAUGUUUAUGGAAAGAAUUGCUCACUGCUCGAGAAAAAUCCCUAGAAGACUUGCAAGGUGCUUCUUGAAGAUUUGCAACUGAAAUGUUAACCAGUGACUGUGAUUUAUGCAACUUACAUACUAGCACUUACUUUUUUUGAAAAAUGAAUAGUUUGUUAAAUAAAAGCAUCAAUAAUUUUCAA
This is an RNA transcript of Diorhabda sublineata, 2399 nucleotides long. RefSeq lists it as uncharacterized. The record is from RefSeq and is a predicted model, not a curated record. Lineage: Eukaryota; Metazoa; Arthropoda; Insecta; Coleoptera; Chrysomelidae. The transcript has 4 exons.